UACGUAGGUGGCAAGCGUUGUCCGGAAUUAUUGGGCGUAAAGCGCGCGCAGGCGGUCCUUUAAGUCUGAUGUGAAAGCCCACGGCUCAACCGGGGAGGGCCAUUGGAAACUGGGAGGCUUGAGUAUAGGAGAGAAGAGUGGAAUUCCACGUGUAGCGGUGAAAUGCGUAGAUAUAGGAAGGAACACCAGUGGCGAAGGCGGCUUUCUGGUCUGUAACUGACGCUGAGGCGCGAAAGCGUGGGGAGCAAACAGG
RNAcentral lists this unclassified non-coding RNA (253 nucleotides) under uncultured Caryophanales bacterium. RNAcentral's name for it is "uncultured Bacillales bacterium contains 16S-23S intergenic spacer region". It matches the Rfam family "Bacterial small subunit ribosomal RNA", at positions 524 to 776 of the family's 1533-position model. The record is from RNAcentral. Lineage: Bacteria; Bacillati; Bacillota; Bacilli; Caryophanales.